UCUGCUCUUCUUGGCGGGGACCAGCUGUGCGGCUCCUCUUGUUAUAUACAGGGAAGGGCUCUAGCCCCUUGUGGUCAUGUCAUUGAUGUUGGGAGCUUUCUAUCCACAGAUUUUCUUUUCAAGCAGUAAGACACAU
Molecule: small nucleolar RNA, 136 nt
Organism: Peromyscus maniculatus bairdii (prairie deer mouse)
Lineage: Eukaryota; Metazoa; Chordata; Mammalia; Rodentia; Cricetidae
Product: small nucleolar RNA SNORA57
Source: RefSeq, a predicted model, not a curated record